This 578-nucleotide long non-coding RNA is filed under the name Bos taurus (domestic cattle). RNAcentral's name for it is "long non-coding RNA NONBTAT014069". The record is from RNAcentral. Lineage: Eukaryota; Metazoa; Chordata; Mammalia; Artiodactyla; Bovidae.
AUAAGGCUUUCAUGGACUCUACUUCCCCCCACUCUGGUUUUUAGGAAAGGAGACGAAUGCCACAAGAACCACGAAGCCUGCACUGAGCGCGAUGACCACCCCUAGUUCCAAGGGCCUCCUUUAGCACCUGCCUGACUGUCCCAGUCCUACCGCAGCGUCAAAGCAGGACCAAAGAUAGGCGGCAGCUGUAUUAUAUUUUAAAGACUUUAAGUACCCUUUGUUGCUAAAUCAGGUUUAAAGGACUGCAUAAAUAGGACCAUUUUACAUUCAAAUUAAACUAGGUCUCAGAAGCAGAUUUAUCCUAAGAUAAAAACAUUGGAAGGACCAGCAAGGGGACACCCACUAGGACACCCAUUCAACAUUUCUAGAAAAUACGUCUGUGAGUGCUUUCCUGAAGUAAUGAUAAAAGAGGACUAUAAUAUAAUUACAUUUUACAGGAACUCUAUAGGUCAGAAAAAUCAAGAAACUGAAUGAAAUAUAUCCAAAAAGAUACUGCUUUACCUAUAAAAAUUUUUUAAGACUAAUCUCAAGUCAACACAUCACAAUGUGUACAUUCAAAGGGGAAUGUUGUUUUGAUG